CACGGGUCUGCACCUUCUGUGGAUACAUAUGCAUAAUGUACACAUUGUUGUUGAUUUUCUUCCCCCUGCCAAGUCGAUGAAGGUUUUGCCGCAGUGCAUAGAUGCAGCAUACACAGUGGGGGUUUUUGCCCUGCUGUUUGUCAUCCUGAUUCUCCAGCUGUACCUCACACAUCUGCCUGUCCUGAAAAGCACUGAAGGAUGAUGCAAAAAGUGAAGCUGUGAAGCAAGAUAAAGGCUGAAGGGGAAGAAGUCUGUGUGUGUGUGUGUGUGUGUGUGUGUGUGUGUGUCCCCGCAUUUUCUGUGUCUGCCUGUGUCUGU
Long non-coding RNA from Electrophorus electricus (electric eel), 318 nucleotides. RefSeq lists it as uncharacterized. NCBI's taxonomy places the organism in Eukaryota, Metazoa, Chordata, Actinopteri, Gymnotiformes, Gymnotidae. The record is from RefSeq and is a predicted model, not a curated record.